Molecule: non-coding RNA, 276 nt
Filed under: bacterium CG1_02_42_9
Lineage: Bacteria
Description: Bacterium CG1 T-box sequence
Rfam family: T-box leader
About the family: Uncharged tRNA acts as the effector for transcription antitermination of genes in the T-box leader family.
Source: RNAcentral
ACAAAAGCGUUGAUGGAGAAAAGUAGGUUUUUAGAAUUGUUGCAAAAGAGACUCUCUUGAGCUAGGGUGAAAAAGAGAGAACAAAUCUGAAACUGAAAAGACUCCGGAGCUGCUGGAAGAAAGCCCGCUAUGGCGGGGGAGUAGAACUGGCCGGGGGCGCCCGUUGACAGCGCUAAAAACCAUAACCUCAUUUUUUGAGAGUGGUUGACAAGGUUUGGCUGGCAACAGUCAGACAAGAAAGAGGUGGUACCACGGUCUUGUAAAACCGUCCUCUUC